CUUUAGUGGCGAACGGGUGCGUAAUACGUGAGAAUCUGCCCUUAGGAGAAGAAUAACUGCUGGAAACGGCUGCUAAAUCUUCAUAUGUCGAGAGAUGAAAUAGCUUAGGCUGCCUAAGGAUGAGCUCACGCCUGAUUAGCUAGUUGGUGAGGUAAUGGCUCACCAAGGCCACGAUCAGUAGCUGGUUUGAGAGAACGAUCAGCCACACUGGGACUGAGACACGGCCCAGACUCCUCCGGGAGGCAGCAGUGAGGAAUUUUCCGCAAUGGGCGAAAGCCUGACGGAGCAAUACCGCGUGAGGGAUGAAGGAUUUUGGUCUGUAAACCUCUUUUCUCAAGAAAGGAGUUCUGACGGUACUUGAGAAAUAAGCAUCGGCUAACUCCGUGCCAGCAGCCGCGGUAAUACGGGGGAUGCAAGCGUUAUCCGGAAUCAUUGGGCGUAAAGCGCCUGUAGUUUGUUUAAUAAGUCUGUUGUUAAAGACUAGGGCUUAACCCUAGAAAAGCAAUGGAAACUACUAGACUA
RNAcentral lists this ribosomal RNA (522 nucleotides) under uncultured Chrysochromulina. RNAcentral's name for it is "bacterial SSU rRNA". It matches the Rfam family "Bacterial small subunit ribosomal RNA", at positions 90 to 643 of the family's 1533-position model. The record is from RNAcentral. Lineage: Eukaryota; Haptophyta; Prymnesiales; Chrysochromulinaceae.